GAUAAACGCUGGCGGCGUGCAUGAGACAUGCAAGUCGAACGAUUAAACUUUCCUUCGGGAAAGAUAUAAAGUGGCGCACGGGUGAGUAACACGUAAGUAAUCUACCCUCGAGUGGGGAAUAACGUCCGGAAACGGACGCUAAUACCGCAUAAUGCAGCGGCACCGCAAGGUGACAGUUGUUAAAGAUUUAUCGCUUGAGGAGGAGCUUGCGGCAGAUUAGCUAGUUGGUAAGGAAUGGCUUACCAAGGCUACGAUCUGUAACCGGUCUAAGAGGACGGUCGGUCACACUGACACUGAAUAACGGGUCAGACUCCUACGGGAGGCAGCAGUCGGGAAUUUUGGGCAAUGGGCGAAAGCCUGACCCAGCAAACGCCGCGUGAAGGAUGAAGUAUUUCGGUAUGUAAACUUCGAAAGAAUGGGAA
Molecule: ribosomal RNA, 422 nt
Filed under: uncultured bacterium
Lineage: Bacteria
Description: bacterial SSU rRNA
Rfam family: Bacterial small subunit ribosomal RNA
Source: RNAcentral